AACGAACGCUGGCGGCAUGCCUAACACAUGCAAGUCGAACGAGACCUUCGGGUCUAGUGGCGCACGGGUGCGUAACGCGUGGGAACCUGCCCUUAGGUUCGGAAUAACUCCCCGAAAGGGGUGCUAAUACCGGAUAAUGUCUUCGGACCAAAGAUUUAUCGCCUUUGGAUGGGCCCGCGUUGGAUUAGCUAGUUGGUAGGGUAAAAGCCUACCAAGGCGACGAUCCAUAGCUGGUCUGAGAGGAUGAUCAGCCACACUGGGACUGAGACACGGCCCAGACCCCUGGGGGGGGCAGAGGUGGGAAAAAUUGGAAAAGGGGCAAAGGCUGAACCCAGCACUGCGGGGUGAGGAAUGAGGGCCUUGGGUUUGAAACCCUUUUUUCCCGGGAAUGAAAGUAAAAGCCCGGGGAAAAAAACCCCGGGCAACCCCGG
RNAcentral lists this ribosomal RNA (431 nucleotides) under uncultured bacterium. RNAcentral's name for it is "partial 16S ribosomal RNA". It matches the Rfam family "Bacterial small subunit ribosomal RNA", at positions 29 to 506 of the family's 1533-position model. The record is from RNAcentral.